This 253-nucleotide ribosomal RNA is filed under the name uncultured bacterium. RNAcentral describes it as "partial 16S ribosomal RNA". It matches the Rfam family "Bacterial small subunit ribosomal RNA", at positions 524 to 776 of the family's 1533-position model. The record is from RNAcentral.
UACGGGGGGGGCAAGCGUUGUUCGGAAUUACUGGGCGUAAAGGGCCCGUAGGCGGCCAACUAAGUCCGACGUGAAAUCCCCAGGCUCAACUUGGGAACUGCGUCGGAUACUGGAUGGCUUGAAUUCGGGAGAGGGAUGCAGAAUUCCAGGUGUAGCGGUGAAAUGCGUAGAUAUCUGGAGGAAUACCGGUGGCGAAGGCGGCAUCCUGGACCGACAUUGACGCUGAACGGCGAAAGCUAGGGGAGCAAACGGG